AGGAUGAACGCUGGCGGCGUGCCUAAUACAUGCAAGUCGAGCGGUAAGGCCACUUCGGUGGUACACGAGCGGCGGACGGCUGAGUAACACGUAGGAACGUACCCCAAAGUGAGGCAUAAGCACCAGAAAUGGUGUCUAAUACCGCAUGUGGCCUAACAGGCUAAAGCUCCGGCGCUUUGGGAACGGCCUGCGCAUGAUUAGCUUGUUGGUGAGGUAAAAGCUCACCAAGGCAGUGAUCAUUAGCUGGUCUGAGAGGAUGACCAGCCAGACUGGGACUGAGAACGGCCCAGACUCCUACGGGAGGCAGCAGUAGGGAAUUUUCCACAAUGGGCGAAAGCCUGAUGGAGCAACGCCGCGUGCAGGAUGAAGGCUCUAGGGUCGUAAACUGCUUUUAUCUGUGACGAAUAUGACGGUAGCAGAUGAAUAAGGAUCGGCUAACUCCGCGUCAGCAGCCGCGGU
This 459-nucleotide ribosomal RNA is filed under the name uncultured bacterium. Its description in RNAcentral is "SSU rRNA". It matches the Rfam family "Bacterial small subunit ribosomal RNA", at positions 26 to 521 of the family's 1533-position model. The record is from RNAcentral.